UUAAUAGAAUAGGAUGUACCGUAGACAGUAGGAGCGUCUUUGCGCUUAAUUAUCCUGCCGAGGUGUUUAUAGAUAAAUUGGAUAUAUACGGUUUAUAUUCCAAUCGAUGAAUAAGCUCUCAUGUCUACGUGAGGGCUUUUUAUUUGCGCUU
This is a non-coding RNA of Virgibacillus chiguensis, 151 nucleotides long. Lineage: Bacteria; Bacillati; Bacillota; Bacilli; Caryophanales; Bacillaceae. The record is from Rfam.